GGUUUAGUCCCAGCCUUAAAAUCAACUUUUUCUUGACUUACACAUGCAAGUCUCCGCGCACCCGUGAAAACGCCCUUCCACCCCACAUAGGGAUAAGGAGCUGAUAUCAGGCAUAAUUACCCAUGACAUCUAGCCACGCCACACCCACAAGGGUCAUCAGCAGUGAUUAACAUUAAAAAUAAACGUAAGUUUGAUUUAGUCAAUGAAAACAGGGUCGGCUAAACGAGUGCCAGCCGCCGCGGUUAAACCACAUGACUCAAAUUGAUUUUGUACGGCGUAAAGCGUGAUUAAAGAAAAUAAAAUUCUGGGGUCAAACUUAGACUAAGUUGUAAUAAACAUGUCUACCUGAAGCCCAAUCUCGAAAGAUACCCCAACCAACCACCAACUUGAACUCACAACAACUUUAUCACAAACUAGGAUUAGAGACCCUACUAUGUUUAGUCGUAAACUUUAACUUACACCCCCACCGCCAGGGGACUACGAGCAAUGCUUAAAACCCAAAGGACUUGACGGUGACCCCAAAUCCCUCUAGAGGAGCCUGUCCUAUAACCGAUGAUCCCCGCUCAACCUCACCAUUUUUGGCCUAUCAGCCUGUAUACUUCCGUCGUCAGUUUACCGUGUGAACGAACAAGUAAGUUGAAUGUCACCCCCCCCGUUACGUCAGGUCAAGGUGCAGCUAACAAAAUGGUAAGGAUGGGCUACACUUUCUAUUAUAGAAAAACUUACGGAAGAUUAUGUGAAAUCAUAUUCAGAAGGAGGAUUUAGUAGUAAGAAGAGAGUAGAGUGCCCUUCUUAACAAGGUUUCUGGGGUGUGUACACACCGCCCGUCACCCUCUUCAACAAAUUUCACUAUAGUAUCUAACAU
RNAcentral lists this non-coding RNA (865 nucleotides) under Pristimantis lojanus. Its description in RNAcentral is "partial small subunit ribosomal RNA". It matches the Rfam family "Bacterial small subunit ribosomal RNA". Lineage: Eukaryota; Metazoa; Chordata; Amphibia; Anura; Strabomantidae. The record is from RNAcentral.